AGACCCGAAACCCGGUGAUCUAGCCAUGGGCAGGUUGAAGGUUGGGUAACACUAACUGGAGGACCGAACCGACUAAUGUUGAAAAAUUAGCGGAUGACCUGUGGCUGGGGGUGAAAGGCCAAUCAAACCGGGAGAUAGCUGGUUCUCCCCGAAAGCUAUUUAGGUAGCGCCUCGUGAAUUCAUCUCCGGGGGUAGAGCACUGUUUCGGCUAGGGGGCCAUCCCGGCUUACCAACCCGAUGCAAACUGCGAAUACCGGAGAAUGUUAUCACGGGAGACACACGGCGGGUGCUAACGUCCGUCGUGAAGAGGGAAACAACCCAGACCGCCAGCUAAGGUCCCAAAGUCAUGGUUAAGUGGGAAACGAUGUGGGAAGGCCCAGACAGCCAGGAUGUUGGCUUAGAAGCAGCCAUCAUUUAAAGAAAGCGUAAUAGCUCACUGGUCGAGUCGGCCUGCGCGGAAGAUGUAACGGGGCUAAACCAUGCACCGAAGCUGCGGCAGCGACACUGUGUGUUGUUGGGUAGGGGAGCGUUCUGUAAGCCUGUGAAGGUGUGUCGUGAGGCAUGCUGGAGGUAUCAGAAGUGCGAAUGCUGACAUAAGUAACGAUAAAGCGGGUGAAAAGCCCGCUCGCCGGAAGACCAAGGGUUCCUGUCCAACGUUAAUCGGGGCAGGGUGAGUCGACCCCUAAGGCGAGGCCGAAAGGCGUAGUCGAUGGGAAACGGGUUAAUAUUCCCGUACUUGGUGUUACUGCGAAGGGGGGACGGAGAAGGCUAUGUUGGCCGGG
Molecule: ribosomal RNA, 782 nt
Filed under: Salmonella enterica subsp. enterica serovar Infantis
Lineage: Bacteria; Pseudomonadati; Pseudomonadota; Gammaproteobacteria; Enterobacterales; Enterobacteriaceae
Also listed under: 7 other names
Description: partial 23S ribosomal RNA
Rfam family: Bacterial large subunit ribosomal RNA
Source: RNAcentral